This 1258-nucleotide unclassified non-coding RNA is filed under the name Hevea brasiliensis (rubber tree). Lineage: Eukaryota; Viridiplantae; Streptophyta; Magnoliopsida; Malpighiales; Euphorbiaceae. The record is from RNAcentral.
GAGAAAGGUCAAAGAAGCAGCAGCCUGUACGGUCCUUUUACUCUUUUCCUUCUCGCUCGUUUCCUCUUCCAUAUUCUCGGCUGGACUUCAUAGAAACCCUAACGCAGAGACAUACGAUUAGAACUUUAGGAUUUGGGCUUUCAGCGAAGAAACCUAAAUAGGAAAUGGAUAUCACCGAGAAGAAGGAAACAGAAAACAGCACAAACAUUAACAACGAUAAUAACAAUAAUAAUGCUCAAACGGCAGCUGAUUCAGCAUCACUUGAGAAUAUCGAUAAAGAAGCCGAAGAACGCCANAGCACGUGACCUCAAAGCUGGUUUGCAUCCUCUUAAGCACAAGUUUGUAUUUUGGUACACUCGCCGAACACCAGGAGUUCGAACACAAACAUCAUAUGAGGACAAUAUUAAGAAAAUCAUGGAGUUUGGUACAGUUGAAGGCUUUUGGGUCUGCUAUUGCCACUUGGCUCGACCUUCUUCUUUGCCUAGUCCCACUGAUUUGCAUCUUUUCAAGGAGGGAAUCCGUCCUUUAUGGGAGGAUUCUGCAAACUCCAAUGGUGGCAAGUGGAUAAUACGAUUCAAAAAGGUUGUCUCAGGUCGCUUUUGGGAGGACUUGGUGCUUGCCUUAGUGGGUGACCAACUUGAUUACAGUGAUAAUGUAUGUGGUGCAGUACUAAGCAUUCGUUUCAAUGAGGAUAUACUGAGUAUUUGGAAUCGUAAUGCAUCUGAUCAUCAGGCUGUGAUGGCUCUAAGAGAUUCAAUUAAAAGGCACUUAAAGCUUCCCCACGGCUAUGUUAUGGAAUACAAGCCCCAUGAUGCUUCUUUGCGUGACAACUCAUCAUAUAGAAACACAUGGUUGAGAGGGUAAAAAAUAUCCUGGAUUGUGAAGCUGGAUGAGCAGUUGAGGUGCAGAGACUCCUUUCUAGGUCCCUGCUUCUUAUUUAUAGUUCAUUCCCUGAUCAAGCAAUCCUUUAUCUCAAGUUUUCAACUUAACAGCCUGUGUGCUUGACUUGAUAUCCUGUAGGUUUUAAUUAUACUGGCCGAAACAAAAUGUUGGUUUUAAUGAAAGACUGUUUUUGGCGUUGGAUGUUACAUUUGGUCACUAUGUUGCGUGUAUUGUUAGAUGCCAGAGUAAGCUUUGAUUAUAGAUAAAAUGUUUGUUAGAUCUUGGUGUAGAGGGGCUCUGCCUCUGAUCUAUCAUAAUCAAUACUGGGUUCACAUUCUUGGGACGUUCCAAGAAUGUGAACCCAGUAUUGAUUAUG